UCUGGGGUGGUGUAAGUAGUGCCAUCGUACAGAGCUCCCAAUUUUUAAGGGCCCUCGAAAUUUUGUUUUCUUUAUAUUAUACAUUAUUAAUAUUAUAACAAUCGUAUGUAUAUACUCUAACGUGCUACAUAUUGACAGAAAAGCAUUUGUAGUGGAGCUGGCUUUCCAGCGAAAAAAGGGAAAUAUCAAACUUUAACUAACCAGCAACAAUAUAUAUCCCCCAAAAUGAUUCCUCCUCCCUCCGAGCAUGCUAAUUCAUCAUAAAUUAGCACGAUAGAGUAUAUAUAUGAUAGUUAUAAUUAUUAUAUAUGAUCGUUUUGGGGUUAUACAACAAUCAUAUAUUUUUUUUUAAAUUUGAUUUCUAAUUUUCAUUACAUGCUAAUUUAUGAUGAAUUUUAGUUAUAAAAAAAUUAUUUUAUAACAUUAGGUUAUGAAUAUUUUUAAAAAAUAAUUUCCUAUUUAAGUUUCGCACACGACUCUUUUUACUUUUCCUUUGAGAUGUAAAUAUAUGUACCGACCUAUAUUUCCCCUUUGCCCUUUCUUGUCCUAAUCGCAUUAUUAAGCCUUUGAUGAAUGAAACAACCACAAACAAAACCAAAAGUUUGAGAAUACGAAAAAGGACUCCUUGACCCUAAAGCCAUCACCUUGACCAUCCGGAUACAUUGGAUUCAUGGCUAAUAUAUGCAUGGUCAUUAUGGAAGCUUCCGUCAACACGUGGGAACAAUUUCUCAGCCAGACUUUUUGACACGUGGCUAUUUGUGGCCCCUCCUUAAAUUUCAUAAUAAUAGCCUACAUGUGCUUUUUGAACCCAUAUAAAAUGCUGUUGCCCAACACUUAGUUUGGCCAUGCAAAACUACAUCAUAUAUGGACUCCAGAGGAAAGGUCAUGGAAGAGAAGGAAGGCGGAGAGGUUCGAUACCGGGGCGUGCGGAAGCGGCCGUGGGGCAAGUAUGCCGCUGAGAUUCGCGACUCAAACAGGCACGGUGCACGGGUUUGGCUUGGGACUUUUAACACGGCUGAAGAGGCAGCUAGAGCUUAUGAUCAAGCUGCUUAUGCCAUGAGGGGUGGCUUGGCCAUUUUGAAUUUUCCUACUGAGUACCCAGCAAGUGGUGGCUCUUCCUCUUCAUCGUCUUCGGCUAAUUUUUCAUCAUCAGUGGCUGGGACUAGCCAGGGGAGAGGUCGUGGGGAGCAUGGAAAUGAAGUUCUUGAGUUAGAGUACUUGGAUGAUAAGUUGCUAGAGGAACUGCUUGAUUGUGAUCACCAAAAGAAGAACAAAAAAUAGUGAGGUUGGUAUCCCUUUUUGGCUUAAUAAGCAGCUAUCCACCGUCUAUUUCUGCAAGGCACAUCGCAAGGUCAAUGAUGCUCUUAUCUUUCUUUGUUGAUAUGUAACUAGAUUCUGAUAAUCACCUUUUGCCUGCGUGUGUUUUUUCAAUGAAGAAUCUAGCAAAAGUGUUGUGUGUUGUUAAGCUUUUUAAGAUAUGGUGAUUUUCCUUCUACAAAAGUAUGAUCUGCGCACAACGCAGAAAAUACAUUGUGAGUAGUAGUUGUAUGUAUGCACCUUUAAUUUUCAGGGGUUGGUAAUUUUUGACACUGACUCCAAUUUAAUAAGAAGAAGAGGAUGAUUACUGGAUCUGACACAAUUCACUAACACGAAUAACUCUGCUUAACUUGUUUUGUGUGAUGAAAAGUAAUGAUUUUCUCAUUUGCUUUUAUAAGCCUCAUAAAUUAGGAUUACUUUCAUGGUUUUUUCUAGAUUGACUUUAUGAAUUGUUUAGCUUUAGACUUUUAGUCCACAAUUUACGAAAUUCAACUUGAAUAUGACACAUAAAUGAGUUAAGUUACGUACUAUCGAACCAUUUACAAUGAUAAUUACAUAAAUCAUGAAAAGGUUGACAACUAUCCGACAUGAGUUUUUGAAGAAUGUUGAAGUUUCACUCAUAGACGGAACUACACUAUGGCUAGAGUAGGCUCUAGCCUUUAAAGGUUUGGAAAAAUGAAAUUUAAUACUAUUUUUUACGCACUACACCUCAUUUUACAAACAAAUCUCUAGUUAGCUUCAAGUUUUCCCCUAUGAUAAAAUAAAUGGAAUUUUAUUUAGAUCUUUACCCAUAUAAGAAAUAAUAGCCCACCCCUAUAAAAAUUUCUAGUUCCGUCACCUAGGGGUGCAAUUUGGAUUGGAAAAUCCGAUUCCAAUCAAUUAUGUUAUGACAAUUUCCGAUUUUGGCAAGUCCAAAUCAAUUUCGACUUCUGAAAAUUCCGAUAAAAAAUUGGAUUGGAAUUGGAAUGUAUCAAGAGAUUUGCAAAAAAUUCCUAUCUAAUCCGUCCAAAAAUCAGCCCCACUCCCAAAAAUUUGAGAUUCCACCACAAAAUCAAUAUAGUUAGAGUAAUAUUCUCUUACCAAAUUUGUAAUAUAUGCACUCAUUUUAACUAGGGUAGUACCUACAAAUAUGAAGGCACCUACCUAUUAUAUCUUUCAAGUAGUAUAUGUAUGUAAUUAAGUGUCUAAAAUCAAAAUUUACAGUUUAAUAUCCUCAACUUUUGCCCCACAUAAAAAGGGUCCUUCAAUUUCGAUUUUUCGCCUCUUUGAUUGGGGGUAAUGUUCUCGAAUUUUCACCGCUUUUUCUAAACACUAGGGACUCUUUGCAUCUGUUUGGCUCUCUUGUUGUUCUUACUCUUAAUUGUGGUUUAUUUUUGUACCACUCCCCUGUACUUUGGUUAGGCUCUUUUGCCUCCAAUCUUUAGAUAAUAAUAUUUACAUUUAAAAAAUAAAAAAACAAAAAAAAAACUUUGUCCCACACCUCUGAACAAAUUGACAGGAUAGACUGUUUUUUGAAUUUGUGGCUGAAAUGGAUGUUAUAUAAGUUAUAACAACGUUCAACAAUUGUUAAUUAUAUAAUAGUCCACUAUAGUGAUCUCCAGGCGCACCACAAAUAUACAAAUUUUUAUAUAAAAAAACCCAAAAAACGUAGCCGCCAGUCCUUUCAUUUGGAAUGUGGCCAACUUUAUUUUUCACUGUGUAAUGUCAUUUUAUUUUGUCGCAAUCAAGCGAAAAAAUACAAUUAAUUAAGAAAAAAGUAACAAAAAUACAAAAAGAAAAGGCAAAGUUGAUAGAUUCCAAGCAAAGAAAUGUAAGGUGUGGUCAAAAGCUAGACACUAAUUCUUGGGUUUUACCACUACAGAUUGGCGCUUACAAAGCAGUCUGCUGUUUCUGUUAGGCGUUUUUUUGGGUUGCAAAAUUCGAUGUUAGGCCCAAGGUUUAAAAUAUCGAGAGUUUCGAAAAUAUCGGUUGUUCAAAAACACGGAAAUAUUGAUGGAAAUAUCGAGAAAAUAUUGAUAUCGAUAAAAAUUGAAUAAAAAUCAAGAAAAUUAUGAGAAAAACUUGGAAAUUUUUAUUGAAACUUUAGAUGAUGUUUAUUUAGUCAAUUGUCUAUUAUUUUAUCACAAAAAAUUGGAAUAAAAUGCAUGGCAUGGUGGGUUAGAGUGAUUUAAGUUGAUUAUGCGCAACGACCUAACAAACACCGUGUCUUUAGAAAAUAUGUAGUAAUUAGUGAAAGAAAAUUAAACGCACCAUAAUUUUUUAGUUAUAAUAAUUUACUACAAUAUAUUGCAUAUGAUAAGAUAUAUGAGCUUGACAAAAAAACAAAAACAAAAUAUAUGAGUAACUUAGUACCACAUAAAAAAAAUUCCUAUUAAAGUUAAAACUUAGUAUCACAUAUAAUGAACAAUAUUAAAACUCAAUAGUGAAUAAUAAUACAAUUCCAUAAUAUAUAACCAAAAAAAAAAAUCCAUAAUAAAAUAAUAAAUAAAAUUAAACAUAUGCCUAAAUUUAUCAUUAGGGAUUGUUUUUUUAAAUGGAAAUUUAUCCUAGAUAAUAUUAGCUUGCAGAAAUUUUUAAGACCAUAUAAAUAUUACACGUUGUAACAUUAUUAAUAAACUCAUUCGCAGCGUGUUGGAUAAGGCCUAGUAGAUGGAUGGGAAAGAGAGUGGUUAAUCCCCUAGUUGGCAAAAGCGCCAUUUCUCAACAAAUUUCAUUUAUUUUUCAGUUUCAAUUGCGAUAUUAUUGAUAAUAUCGCGAUAUAUUGCCCAAAUAAAGGACGAACGAGUAUGAAAUUAUCACCUCUGACAUUAUCGCGAUAAUAUCGAUAUAUUGACGAUAAUUAAGUGAAUAUGGCCUAAAAUAUCGAUCAUUUAAAAAAACGAUAUUAUCAACGAAAUAUCGCCAAUAAUUUCGAUAUUUAAGACUGUGGUUAGGCCUCACCAAGUUUUGGAGGCCGUGACUUGUGCUGGGGUUUAAGAGCACUUGUGAAUUGAACUGGCUGCAAGCUAGUAUUGGGCUCAGUUAUGAAUACAUAAAGACCUCAACUGAGGCCUGCUACCUACAUACAGUCUCUGUUUUGUUGAAAAAGUUGUGAGUUCAAAUGUCAUGAACGGCAGUUGUUUUUUAUUUUUUAUUUUUAAUACAAGCUUUAGUCUUAAACUACAAGGCGAGAAGAGUUUCUCUCACACACGCAUUUGCGUUGUUGAAUGAAAAAUAAUAAUAAUAAUUUGCUCGAGUCAUUCUGAAGACGAGUUUGGUUAAAGGUGGACUUCAAAGGCUACAAAUCUAAUAACAGAGAUAUGGAAAACGAAAUUUAUUUCCUCCUUUGCAAUUGUUCCUCUCAUGUUAAACACAAAACAUGCAUGCUCAUUCAUUCUCUCUCCAAUCUUGACCAUUUUUCAUUUGUUGGGCUUUUAUUUGUGGUGGUGGUGUUAUUCGAAUUUGUUCUCUCCUGCUUGCCUGGACUUGUUUGUGUCAUUUGUCAACUACUAGUACUACGAAUCCCAGCGUUACUUUGACAAGUAAAGUACUUGUGUUUGGGACAAAUUUGUCUGUCGUCAGCAGUGGUAUGUAUAUAUAUUCUUAACCUUUAUAUCCUUGUCCAAAUUGCUCUUCUAAAUUAAUCAUUUCUUUCUUGGGUUGGGACUAAUCCUGGCUUCAUCUUAAAUUCUUAAUGGAUGAGAAAAGAAUUUCAUGAAACAAAGAUUCUCUGUUUGUGUUUGGAAACAAGGUUCUCUAUUUUCCUGUUGCGUGAUUCUAAAGUUUGUCAGUGGACUAAGCAAGUCCUGUAUUGUCUCUUCUUCAAUCUUUAUUAUGCCUUUCACCAAGGAGACCAAAAUAUAAUCUAGAUAGUGAUCCAACUUUCUCCUUUUUUCAGGAUUUGCAAAAAUCAGGAGAUUGUUUUUUGUACUUUUCAAGCACCUCUUGCACUUUUCUAGCCAAGUCUAAAUAACAAUUUUUAAAUUUAUUUUAUCAAAGAUCUGAGCCAAUCAAACUAACACUCCAUUGGUAGUAUUAUAAUUUUUGAAAGGAUUCAUUUUCCACAACAACAAAAUAAAAUAAAAUAAUAAAAAUUAUGAGUAUUCUCUAUUGAGAAUGCCCUCAAUAUAAGAAAAGUAAGAAUUUCAGUAUUGUCAUAGCCCAUAUUGCAAUAGUGGUAUUUAUAUUUCUAGUAUGAAAAGAUAUCUCAAAUUAUUUUUUAUAUUAGAAGCCGUCUCAAGUUCGAAUCUCUUUUUUACGUUGAUAAUAACAACAUAUUAUUAGAGAUACCAUACACAUACAUGUGCAUAUGUGUAUAUCAUACCACGUCAUGACUAAAACAAAUUAUGACAUGAAAAAAUGUGCUUGCUAAACCAUGGUUGAACAACAUAUAUUAUUUUAUAGAAGGGAAAUGUGUUCAACUCACUAAACAACAAGGGAAGAAAAAGGUUACACAAACACAACUCAAUUUCACUUCCGUUUGUUUUUCUCCUCUUGAGAAUCAAGAAGGUCCUCCAACACAUGGUCAUCCAAAUACUCAAUCUCAAAGACUUGCCUUCCUUGUCCAGUAGAUGAACUUCCACCAGGAGCAGCAGCAGCAGCAGCAGCAGAAGAAGAAGAAGAAGAAGAAGAUGAAGAAGAAGAAGAAGAAGAAAAUGAUGAUGAGAAUCUAGGAGGAUGAGGAGGAGAGCCCAUAACUUGAGAAUAAUACUCAUUUGGAAAGUUGAGUAUGGCAAGAUGACCCCUUAAAUUAAAAGCAGCUCUGUCAUAAGCCCUUGCAGCUUCUUCAGCCGUAUCAAAUGUGCCAAGCCACAGACGAGCACCUUGCCUUGAAGGGUCUCUUAUCUCAGAAGCAAACUUCCCCCAUGGCCUCCUUCGGACUCCCCGAUAACGCACUUCUUCGCUUCCCUUCUCUUCCAUUCCUUGCUUCUGUAGAUCCUUUCCUCUACGAGGGUCUUCCAUAAUUUCUAGCUUGAUUCUUUGAAUAAUUUCUGGUGGUCGUUAAUUUUGACAAGCCUUUCUGUUUUUGGUUUAAAAUAUGGUGGCAUAUAAUGUAUCUCAUUGAUAUAUUUAUAGGUGUUUGAUUUUGGGACAAAUGGGGUCAUAUCACAUAUGACUUAGAUGUACUGUGAUUGUGAGAGUCCACAUGAACGUGGAUUGACCAAGCGUAAAUGGAUGUUUCUUGGAAGGUUCUUCAUCUUCAUGUAUAUUAAUUAUUAUCAUCUAGGGCUAUAAUAGAGGUGCAAAAAUUCGAUUCUUCGACUCUUUCUAUGAUCAAAUUCAAAAAGGGUUUGUAAAUCUCUUUUCUUGAUAGGCAUUUUCUUUCAAAUGGGCUUCGAAUUCUAUCUUUUUAUGUUCAUAUUAUGUGAGAAUAAUAGAUUGUGUUGGUUGGUAAUAGUUUUUUUCUUUCUUUCACUGAACCAUUGAACUGUAUUGUCACUUUACACAGAAUAUGUAGAGAUUGAUUCCCAUAUCACAAAGAUUGGAGGAAUUAGACCCACAGAAUAUGAAUGCGUAAGUGAUUCCAUCCUAAUAACUAAGAAUAUUACAAGCAUGCACUAGCCAUACAAUUUUGGUUGAAGGCAAAAAUAGGAAACUCAGGAAAAGCAAGAUAAGGUCUCAAGGGGUAUAAUUUUCCUAUUUGGUGGAAAAGUGGACUGCUAUAUAUUGUCCCCUUGCACUACUCCCUCGUAAUAUGCUUUGAUCAUUGUAGGGAUUUCAGAUAUGAGAUUUUUCAAAUCAUAUCAAAUUAUUCAAAUUUUAUUUUAUUUGAUAUGAAGCAUAUAGAAUAUGAAAAUAUUUUUGCUCACUACUUUAACCUAAUGUGUACUCUCACCAUCAUUCUCAACACUUGACACAUGUUCAUAGGCAUAACUAUAGUUAACUCUUUGUUUUGUAUUUGUGGAACCAUAGUUAUGCCCAUGUACACAUGUCAAGUGUUGAGAAAAGUGGUGAUGGUACACAUUGGGUUAAAAUAGUGAGCAAGAAUGCUUCGUAUAGAAUAGCAUUCAAACAUUAACGACUCAUUUUGGCUCACUCCACACUAUAAUUCUUUGAUCAAAGUCAUUCAUUCUGCAUUCCAUGAUCAUGGUUGCAAAUAUACACUCAAAUUGAAAAAAAUAUAUAAAUUUCGACACAACGAUAUUUUAAAUUACUCUAAUGUAUAUGGAGGGGAACAAACUUAGAUACAAGUGGGUGAGUACACUGCCUUGGCCAAUGGCCAUAACCCACACCUGCUCAAGUUGAAAAUCUUUGAGUAUUUGUGAAUAUUUUCAUUAUGUCUCAUAAUGUGUUCAUCUAUUUAUUUUAUCACAAUUAAAAUAACUAAAUGAUUUUUCAUUUUGAAUAUUUUUUUAUUUAUAGAAAUGAUCUUUCAAUGAGUACCUAAAAUUGAAUGAUUCAAAUCAUAUAAUAUAUUAUGGAGCGGACCUGGUGAUUAAUUAACGUAAUGUUGUCAAUCAAUAUGGUCAUAAAAUGUGAUCCCUUUACCUUUAUUUGUAAAAAGUGCUACUAUUUCCACUCUAUGUCCUAUUUUCGCACCCACAUAACCUUUCCAACUACCAUGUAAAUUUGAAAAAACACAAUCCUAUCUUUUCACACAUCAUUAUUCCUAAAAUACCCUUAAUUAUUAAUUCAAGCAAAUUCUCUUUGCUAAUCAUUAGUAGUUGAGAUAUUGAGAGGAUGAAGUUGUGUUUGAUGGACUGGAUAAAUGCUUUAGCAACUGAGGAGUCGUACACUUUCUUCUUCUUUAUUUUUUCUUUUUGUCAAACGAUGGAAUAGGUGGGUUACAUGAGUUGAGGUUUCUUUUCCCCAAGUCCUUAGAAAUCAUUUUACAAAGGGAAAAAUUUGUCUUUAAAAUUUUAAAAAUAAAAUAGGCAAAAAAAUAGAACAUGGGGUGGAAAUAACAAUACUCUUUAUAAAACAAAACAUAAAAAGAGAAUAUAUAAGAAUAACCAAAUGAUCUUGAGUACAUCAUAUAUUCUUCUGUCCAAACAAUCGAAAAAUUCCUAAAGUAUUAAAAAGUGGCAUAGGAUUAAAGUAAAAUUCAGACCCUCCCUCUUCCAGAAAUAAAACCAAGACACUCUCGUCGUUUAAAAAAACAUGUUCUCAAAUACCACUAUAGUAAUACUGAUAUUCAAGAGCAUUUCUCUUGCAAGAUGGCAAAUCAAAUAACCUUUUUUUCUUCUUUUCCAAAUGGGAUAAAAUAUAAGUUUUGGUAAACCUUGAAGACAAAUUAUAUGUCAUUAACUACCAAACCAAUAACUCGUCCGUAAAAAAGAAAGUGAAAACCUAAGGGCCGUUUGAUAAUCAUUUCAAUUUUAGUUUUUCAUUUUAAUUUUUCAUUUUUUGUGCUAGAGCAUAGAGGAAAAAGAGGGAGAGGGGAAGUGAGAAUGAGAAUGAAGAUGAGAUUGAGAGGGAAUAUGAGAGAGGAGGAUGGGAGGAAUGAGUAACAAAAGUGAAAACAAAAACUAAAAACUGAAAUCUAUUUGAAAUUGUUUUCACAUUCAAGUUUUCGUUUUCACUUUUGUUACUACUCCCUCCCAUCCUCCCCUCUUAUCCUCUCUCUCAAUCUCAUCCUUACUCUCAUUCUCACUCUCAUUUUCCUCUAUACUCUAGCACAAAAAUAAAAUAAAAAAAAAUAAAAACUAAAAAUAAAAUGGUUAUCAAAUGAGGCCUAAGUUACCUAACCUAAUAUUAUUAUUUUUUCCUUCCAAAACCUAACCUAAUAAAUUUCUUGGAGGUAAAAAAAUUAGGCGCUAUAUCUAUCAAUUGGAAAACAAGAAGAGUGCGGACUCAUGCCCCAAGCAUUUUGUGAUCACUGAUUACGUCGUUAAAAACAGUGUGACAUACAUAACCAAUGGGCUGUGCCCGCUCGGAAAGUGAAUCCCAAAAAGAUUUUGUUAUUUGUCUUUAAAUAUUUGUUUUGGUUACAAAGAAGGCUUGCUUUUUUAUUUAUUUAUUAUUUAUUUUAUCUUGCUCUCGAAAUAUGGGCAAAAGAAGAAGAAUUGAGGGUUUCUUUUGUUUCAUGAUUAGAGAAACGUCAAUCUAUACUAAUGGGAAUUGUCAAAGCUUGCAUACGUUAGGCCAUACGCACAAGGAAACAUGAUGAGCUCCAGCAGAUUAGUUUUUUUCAUAGGUUCAUCCAGGACAGAAUCUUUAUAGGAUCAGAAGCUAUAGAAAAUGGUCCAAUUCGUGUAAACGAAAGCUUUGACAUUGCCAAGAUAUUCAAAAGGAGCUCCUCACUAACUCCAAUUUAGUAUUAAUUUAAAAAACAAAAAGGUAAGCAAGGAACUAAGAAACAAAACCAAAAAAUAAUAAUAAUUAAAGCAAAGAAAACUGAGAGAAUUUGGUUUGAAUGUCCUAGAACAUGGAGACCAGAUCAUCCCUAGCUACUUUAAACUGUUAAUGAAGCUUUGUAUUGAGGCAGAUUUAGUCUUGGAUCAAUUUAAAAAGAUGAAGGAAUUGCAUUCUUAUUUGCCAACACCUUUCCGAUUUUAUUAAUUACAACUCCUUAAUCAUGGUUGUUUGACCCUCUAAAUUCUAAUCCUUUGAAUAUUGUAGCAUGCACUUUUUUCAAAUGUUAGAUAUAUGUGGUUGUUGUUUGAAAAUGAAAACAUGAUCAAGCGAAAACUUAGCACAAAGAGCCAAAAUUUGUAAGCAUCUUGAAUGGAAAAUAAUAUUGAAAAGAUGCAUAGCUUUAUGGGCAUCUAUGCCUUUUUAACAAAGAGUGGAGAAACCGUGUGAACCUAAUUCUCAUCGAGGAAAAGCAGUUUCAGAAUCUAAAUCUCUCAAAUGAAAAUUGGGGAUAGCGGGGAUAGCGGUGUUUUGUCGAGGUAUCAUAGAAUGUCAAAAACUUUUGACAAUGUCAAGAUAUAAACCUUGUGAACGUAAGAGAUUUAUAAACCUUUUAACAAUGCCAAGGUAUCAUAGAAUGCAAAAAAACUUACUUGUAACGGGGAUAGCGGUGUUUUGCUAUCCCCAGCUAAUUAUACAAUGACAUGUAGAAAAAUUAUCCUACGUGUCAUUGCAUUAUUGAUCGGGAAUAGCAAAAUAAGAGUUUUUUCCCAUAAAAUGAAGCUACGAGUUGAGCAUGAAUUGGGUGCUCUAAAAUACAUUUUAUGCUCGCAUUGGCCCAUCAAUAAUGCAUGAGUUGCUGGGUUUAUCAUUUGAAAGUUAUACAAUUUGUUACACAAGUGGAACUCUAGAUAACACAAUUUGAAGCCCAUUCCAAAUUGCAACAGUGUUUUUAGUUGUAUCCAAAUUUGUUCUUUAAAAAAAGCUCCUCAUUUUGGGAGAAAAAUCCCCUCCUAAGGCCUUAACUUGGUUUGCAAAUGCUAAGGAGAGAUUUCAGGCCCAUUUUAGUUGACCCAGGUAGAUAUCUUCAGAUUUAAAGAAUCAUAAUGAGAUGGAACAAAAUAUAAAUAUAUGUUCGAAUCUUCCCGUUCUUAAUAUCGUUUGUAUAAAUAAAACAACAUAAUAUAUAAAUAAUAUCCUUUAAUGAAUCGAAAUAUUGUAGCCAAAAACCUAUAGUGGUGUUACUACACCUGGAGGCGGCUAUAAGAUCCUUAAUUCACAGUCUAAUUGAUAAUUAUGAACUAAUUUAGGUUGAUUUUUUUAGUAAUCAACUAUACAACAAAUUUUCAUAUAUUUUGUUACUGAUGAAUCAAAUCGUGCUCGAGUAUAGCCAGUGAGCAUUUGUCUCUUACAAGGAUGAUAAAGACGUACUAAUUUGGAUGAGAUCCACAUAGAAAGAAGAAAAAGCUCUGCCGGUCAAAUUCAAUCACCAAAAUGCAGAUGCAUUGAGCCUAGCCAUAAAAAUCCAAUGCUACCAACCAAAAAUAUAUAUUUUUUGGAGGCUGAUUAAUGAAAUGAAGCCCCUUUUGCAGUCCUAGGGUUGCAUGUUUAUAAUGUGAACUGGGGUUGAGGUCGUAAAAUGAUGAGUGAGAGUUUGCUGUGGGAGUGAAAAACUCAUGGGGACCCAGAUGACCUAACAACUCAUUACCUGAGCACCUAGAUUUGACUACAUUAAGGUUUAUAUUUUACCUGGGAAAUAUUCUGCAAUCAAUUACUUUGUCAUCUUUUCACAACAUCUGUACUAAUAUUAUAAUCCUUAGUUUCAUAAUGUAUGUACAGAUUCAUGUACCAUUUACAUCUUUUUAAACAGAAAUGGUUCAUCCCUUUAUCCAGCUUUCAUGUUUGAUGAUGAUAUCAAACUUAUCUUUUGGUUCGUUUCUUCUUAAUUUCAAAGAGUUUGGCAUAUCAGAUUUUGGAUCAGAAUUGUUAAUUAGAUAACAUUAUAUAUGCGCACGCGCUUGUAAUUAUAAUGCAUCAUAUUAUGACAACAUAACAUGCUAGAUAUAUAUAUAUAUAUAUCUAGCAGUCCCGAUCUCUUGGACCACAGGAAUCCAAGAGAUUUGUGGUCACUCACCGUUGGAUGUAAAUUUAACGGUUCACUCAAUCUUGAACUCCUUUUAAGAAACUUUUUUGAAUCAUUAGAUUAAUAUCCAACGGUGAGUGACCACAAUCUCUUGGACUCCUGUGGUCCAAGAGAUCAGGACUGAUAUAUCUAGUAAGUGAUCGUUCCUAUUUUUAAUUGUGACUAUUUCCACAUUAUUACUUAAGAAAAUCCUGAUUUAAGGAUGAUUUUAAUAUCCUUUUAUUCCUUUACACAACCUAUACGGCUAUACCUAUGGAUAGGAUGUCCUACAAUAUAAUAAUGUUAAAUUUUUUGCGAAAGUAUAAUAUAUUAAUGUUGGGAAUCAUAAGGAUGAAGGGAACAGAUGUAACACAUAAUAAUAAAAAUUACAAAAGAUGUUGGGACAUUGGUUUGAUAUGAUUAUUGGGGGAUCGUAUCAACUUUUUAACUUUUUUAGCAGUGAGAAAGAAAAAAAGUGAUGAUUUGUAACUCAAGCAAUUAAAAAUGAUUAUUUUUACUCACGAGAUUUUGUGUUUGAAUUCUCUCUUUCUCAAUAUCACUUAUAAUAGUAAUCAAAGUUUCUUUAAAUUUUUAUUAACUAAUAGUGAUUUAUAACAAGGAUUACUAAUCCUUAAAUUUUUUAGGAAUCAUUCAUCAAUAUUUGUGAAUGACUAAUUUUUCUCAAUCUUUUUUUACCUUGGUUCAUUUUUUCAAUUUUCCAAAAUUACUCUCAUAGAAAAAUAAACACUAAAAGUUUUUAAAGACAAAAAGUUUAGUCCUUGUGUUUUUUGUUUUAGAUGUAGGUCCUUUGACAUUUAUUUUUUUUUUGUUGUGUCAAUUUUACCCUUUGAGGUAAAUAAGGAAAACACACUGAAAAUCUAAAAUUAAUGCAUUAUUUCCUUGUAAUUGAAUUCCAUAAUUUAAUUUUUGAAUUAUUUCCUUGAUAAUAUUCCUAAUAUAUCGAUAAAAUACAAUUUUACCAAUAAAAAGUAAAGACCCACAUAUUAUACCAAACAAACACCCACAUUAAAUUAUAUACCUAACUUACAGGUAAAUAGUGUUAGGAACAUAAAUUAAAAGACUACCUUUAAGUCAGAUACAAAAAUAGACAAAAUAAAAUUGUAUGUUACCUAUUUAAAAAAAGUACAUAAAAUACUAUUACACAUUGUUAAAAAUAUGAAAAAACAUAUAUAUAUACACACACACACACACACACAUAUAUAUAUACCUAUGCAAUAUGACAUAAAUGACUAUUACCUGAUUCAAGUCAUAAAGGGCAACAUUGGAACAAAAAAUAAUUUUAAAAAUAAAAUAAUAAAAAGAUUACAUCAUAAAAUAUUAAAAAGAGAAUGUAAUUCUAUGUGGCACAAAAGUCAAAAGACUUAGAUCAAAGUCACCAAAUUCGAGGAUUAAAUCCAACUCCUUAAUAUGAAUUUGAAUCUAUAUCAACUUUUCUAUAGUUUUAAUUUAUGAUGUGGGUUAUUUGGUAAUAAAAUGUGCCAUAAAUGCAUUCCUAAGUCAUUGAAAAGCAUACCAAUAUGUGGAUUUGAUCGGUGCCAGUCCUUGAACUUUAGAUAUGCUUACUUUUAGUCGUAUCACAAAGCCAAUAAAUUUAGGGAACCGGCGGAGCUCCAGGUUUCACUUUCACUCCUUCAUAAGAAAGACAACAUGUAUGAGAUUUCACAUUCCAAAAAAGGUGCUCACCAAACAUAAGAGACUAUUCCUGCCUCAAGAUAAUGGUUAGUGUCAAUAUCCUUAAAUACAUGUUCAUUUUUAAUGCAGAAGCUCGUGGUCCAAUUUUUAAUAUAUAUAUAUAUAUAUAUUGCCACUCGGCAUUACUACGUGGCAUCGAAGGAAUUUUUCUUAUAGAUCCUAAGACCUAUUUUCAUUUGGCACUGAUAAUAACAGUAUAACUAAAAAGAUUGUACUAAAAGGAAAUCAUUGCCAUGUACAUGGUAAUCAAACGAAAAUGAAAAGAAUUACUUGUUAUUGUAGUAACUAAGGGGCGCAGUCUUGGCCUUGAAGAUUUUUGGAAAUAUUAAGAUGGUCCUAAGUGCACGGGAGGGUGGGGCAUAUGAAAGUGGCAAGUUAAAUGUGAAAAAUAUAUGAAUGGACCAUAUACCAUGAAUCUGUAGGCAUCAUUGCUGGCCUAACUGGUUAGUCAAAUUAAUAGUGAUGAAUUUGGCUUUUUGGAAUCUUCCUCAAAUUUGUUUUAAUUUCUGUAGAAGAAAAAAAAAAGGUUUAAUUUUAAAUUUAUAUAAACCCUUGGAUGGUGGUGGUGAUAGGGAGUGGUGAGCAAGACUAUCUCAUCAGACCAUUUGAGCACAUGUGAUAUAUAGAUGCAGGUAAUUAGUUUUUUUAUUUUUUUUAAUUUAUAAAUUCCAAAAUUUCCUCUUAAAUAUCUAUUUUUCUAGAAAAGAAGAAAGAAAGUAGUUGUUUGACAAAAGAAAAAAAGAGGAAAGAAAGUAGUUCAAGUUGGAACAGAAAUUACCCUGCAGUUUCCUUAUGUUUUUUUUUUUCCGUUUAUUCUCUUACUUUUCAAUAUCCAUUUCCUUUAAUUAUUUUUGUGGAUAUGUUUAUGAUAAAUAAAUAAAUAAGCAAUCGAAGUUGGAUUAGUCUUACCUGAUCGACUGGUGACAUGAGCACUAAUUGCAAUCUGCACCCUUGUCCCCCUUUCACGAGAUCGGUUGAAAUGGCAGCAAAAGUCCUUCAAGACCAAAUUUGCAUCAAACAAUUUGGACCAUAAGUUUCCCACCACAUCCCCAUAUAUAUGGUAAAAAAUAAAAAUAAAAAUAAAAAACCAAAUUUGGUAUUUUGGUUUGAAGGUUACAAUAGUGGUAUAAAAUCGUGGGAGCAUUUUGCUCAUUACUUUAAUUCAAAGUUUAUGCUCAUUACGUUUUUCAAUACUUGACACGUGUUUAUAAGCAUAACUUUAGUUAUAAAAAUCAAAGUAAAAAGUUAACUAUGAUUAUACAUAUGGAUACGUGUCAAGUAUUAAAAAGGGUGGUGCAUAUACCUUAAGUUAAAAUAGUGAACAAAAAUAUUUCCCUAAAAUUGUGGGUUGGUGGAAAAUGGAAAAUAUUUACCUUGUUUCAUUUCAUGACGGAGACCUAAAAAAGGAAUGAUCCCAAAAGGGAAUUUUCCUAGAAGCUCCAUCCAUGUACAUGAAAACAUUUCAAAGAUGCUUAACUGGGGCUACCUCAAAUAUUAUCUUUUACUGCAGCUGACUUGUCUCUUUCCUUUUCUUGUAUCCAUUCUUUCCGGAGGACUUUCAAAGUUGAACCAAAAAAAAAGUAUCCUAGUUUUGAUGACUUUGAAACAUGACAACAGGGAUGAGGUUUCAAGGGGGCGUGCAUCUAGACCUUUCAAACAUCAAUUUCCUAAUGCCGACUGAUGAGAUAAAAGUUUUGUGCAUUUGGGAUAAUAAUUUUUUAUUUAUUUUUGUAUAUAUAUAUAUAUCACAAUCACCAAACAAGUCCCAAGGAGAAAAUUUAACCCAACUUGUUGCUUCAUACAAAAAAGGUCAUUCUCAUUCGGGUGCUGAUGAGCUUGGGCAGAGUGAGCACGUCCAGAUAGCAGCAAAAUAGGAUUUUGGCUAAUCAUUUCACAUGAAUCCUGAUGUUUUAUACAAAUAGGAGAGACGUGAAGAAAACCUACCUAGGCUACCUAAGCUAGCUACCUAAACCACAGUCAAACAAUUAGUCCCCUAUUUCUUACUUUCUUUCUGUGUGUUCAUAAAAUGUAUGUGUUCAAUCUUGUCCCAUCCUUUGGUUUUUUCCGAAAACUUUGUUAAAUAAAAUAAAAAAAAAUAUAAAAAAAAUCUGACUAAGUGCUUUCAAAAAGUUGCCAAAGAAAAUUGACCACCGCUUUUUUUGUUUUUCUUUUUUUUUUUGUUUUAAAAGUUAUGAUUCAGAAUUUUAGUGGUUGUGUCAAAUCAGCUUAAAAUUUAGCUUACGUGUGUGAGCCUCUCGUAUAUAUUUAAGAGUAUCAAACACAACAAAUCAAGGCGAAUAAAGUCUGAACACAAUUAUACAUAUGCAAUGCAAAAUAAAGAUAAAAUGAAACAUAUAUCUUAAAAUGUAAUCUAGUUUAGAAAUGAAAUAUGCAAUGCAAAAUGAAGAUAAAAUAAAACAUACGUCUUAAAAUGUAAUCUAGUCUGAAAAUGAAGAGUAGAAUCUCACUUAAUUAACAUCUAUAGCUCACCAUUGAGCAAUGAGUACUAAGGCUACAACUAUUUUUCCACAUCCAUGAGUCCAUGACCUUGUGAGUCUAGUUUCUAGGGGUCAUUUUCUUUGACAUGGAAAAUCGAAGUCCACUUACACCAAAUGGGUCAAGUUUUAAGUUAGUGAUGGAUUGGUAUGAGUGGAAACCGUAGCCAAGUGAACCACGGGUGAUUUGCUCUUGUUAUUGCAAUUUAGUGAUCUAAUCUUCUUCUUCCCUAAUAAGUGAAAUUGAUGAUAAAGUGACAAGUAAUAAUAUAAAACGUAUUGCUCAAGUUUUAUUUGUAAAUCCAAAGCCAUAAGACCCUUGACUUCUUUUUUCCACCCUCAUUUCCUCGAACAUUCACAAAACCAUGACCUCUUUCUUCCCAAAUAAAUUUUUUGGGCUCCAAGCCAUCCAAGCAAUGUCAAAUAUUUUUUUUAUUUCUUUAAAAUCCUAGUUGACAGCUUUGAAAGCGAAAAUACGUGGGAAAUCCAACGGUGGUCCUUGAAGUGGUAAAAAAUUGAACUCACUAUCUCCAACGGCCAUUCAACUACCACGCAGUCUGUGAAUUGUGCCAUUCAGAGGAAUCCACAUGCUGACACGCGGGCAAGCUCCUAUGCGACAAAUGGACACUGAUAUCAUAAGCUGCUGAGGUCACCACAAGUUUCUCUCUGACCUGGCCGCCAUGCUUCAAUUGACCCAUGUGUUAAAAUUCAUCCCAACUUGCGUAGGAUCCCACAAUAAAUACAAUAAUACACCAAAACAAAUAAAAUAUAGCCAACCACAUCUUAUAUUUUAAUAUGAUUCACCUGGCUACUUUUACCUUUUCACCCUCAUAAUUUUUACCCACUCUCUUUCGUUGGGUCAUUUUUAACUUGGGGGCCCAAUUGGCCCCUACUGGUCCACAUUGGUCCUGUGGGACCCAUUGGAAUUGGGUAUAAAAAUGGGAGGAGGCCCCGAGUCUUAGCUUAACCACAACGUGUAGCCACACUUGCACAAACACAAUAUUCCAAGAAGAAAACAGAGACACCACCUCAAUUCUUCAAAUGAAUUACUCAAUCUUCCACUCCCCAAUUUCCGAUUUGUCACCUGAAUCUUCAUUCGGAUCAUCAUUUUCUUGGGAUGAUCACAAAUUUGGCAACAACUCACUUCCCUUCAACGAAAACGACUCCGAAGAAAUGCUUCUCUAUGGCCUAAUUUCCAACGCCACCCAGGAAAUAACAUCAAGAGAAACAGAGACACUCUCUGUUUCUGCAAACCCAAUCAAGGAAGAGGAAGUGAGCUCCACGUCCGACUCGGAGAACCCGAAAAGGGAAAAGUCGUACAGAGGGGUGAGGAGGCGGCCAUGGGGCAAGUUUGCUGCUGAAAUUAGAGACUCCACCAGGCACGGCAUAAGGGUGUGGCUAGGCACAUUUGACAGUGCCGAAGCUGCAGCCUUGGCCUAUGAUCAGGCCGCCUUUUCGAUGCGUGGCUCCGCGGCGAUUCUCAACUUUCCGGUGGAGAGAGUCCGAGAAUCGCUUAAAGAAAUCAACUAUGUCGCUUCGGAUUUGAACGGGGGCUCGCCGGUUGUGGCGCUCAAAAGAAAGCACUCCAUGAGAAGGAAAAUCGGGAACAAGAAGAGCAAAGUGGAGAGAGACGUGAGGAUAGAAAAUGUGGUGGUGUUUGAAGAUUUAGGCGCAGAUUACUUGGAAGAAUUGUUAAAUUCAUCUGAGAGCACAUGUGCCACUGCCACACCUAAUCGUUGAUUCAAAAACAUUAAUUCAACUUUCUUGUGUUCUUCUUUUUUUUUUUUUGGUGGUAAUUAUAUGAACCAUCAUCACUUUGAAAUCUUUGAUCUGUCUCUUCUCCAAUAUUUUCUUUUUUCUGUGAAGUUGCAAAAAAAGGAUAAGGAGUUACGUAUUUAUGUAUCCUGGUGUCUCAUUUGUGGCGCUCAAUUAAUUGAUCCUUAAGGUGAUUAGAUUUAAUAUUCUACUAGUCAACUAAUAUAGCUGGUCACUCUUAUCAUACACAAAAUGACAUUGCCACAUGCACGCGUGCUGUACGAACUCCAAGUUAAAUCACACUUAAUAGUAGUACUUCAAUCCUCACAUCUUUUUGCGUUUGGCUGGUUUUCCAUGAUCGGGAGAUUCUUAUAGUUGUCGUCAUGCAUUGCGUUAGACUCUUAUACAUAACGUAUAAUAUUUAAAUUAUGUGUGCAUUCUGUGUGCGCGUAUAAUGCAUUAGUUAGACUUUUACGUAUCGUGCGUGAAACUUGAAUACAUACCACUCACAUAAACAAGAAGUUUUCUUUCUUCGACGAGGCUACAAAAUUAAUAUUUUCCUUAAUAGAAUAUCAUAUACAUUGGUUGAUGAGCAAGGAGUGUGAAUAUUGUUAUUAUUAUCCUCCAAUGCCAAAGGGGCCAGGCUAUCAAAAUAUCAAGGAUGUAUACAUAUGAUAUGGCCCACGAGCCAUGACCAAAGAGCUGCAACUUGCUUGGUUAGUCCUCAGUUUCAAUCGAAUUAUUUUUGGUUUUUAAUGGCAGUUUUGUCUUUAAGCACUAAGCACUAGUAAGUGUGGACACCUGUAUAAACCUAAUCAAGCAAUUAGCUCGAGCAUUAUGCAAAUCAUAUCAACUAAUUAAAGCUUAAUUAUAUCUCCAAGUAAGUAGUUGUGUGGAGAAGGAGAAGAAGAAGACAAAACUGCCAUUAAAAACCCAAACUUGAACCACUUUGAACACUGUUUUGGUCCAAUUUCAAAGCAAAGAAGCUUCUGCGAGCAAUUCAGUCUUAGUAAUUUGGGUGGACAAUAUCUGCUACUUGCGACUUAUCUAAUUCAUUCAUCCUCGCAUAUAAUAAUACACAGAUUUAAUUCAUUUGAAUAUAUAUUAUCUUCACGUGGGAUCUAAUUUGGUUCUAUAAAACUAUCAUAAAUUGUGACCCUCCUUCCUCCGCUUCUUUUUAAAAUAUUUUUCUGUGGACCACAUGAUUUGUUUUCAAUAUCACGUAUAAACUUUAUUUUUAUCAUUAUAUCAAUAUUUAAAAAAGGUUACAAAUUCGAAUUCUCUUUUCUUUUCAAUAGAAACGAAUACCGCUAUCAUAUUGUUAGCCACAUACUAUGGUAAUUGGUGCGAUAAAAUAUGUAUCACUAUAAUUACAUGAUCAUGCAACGGCUUAAGCGGUUUAGUAUUCUGUCUAUGUCCACAGAGAGUACUUAAUAUUUAAACACAACUAACUAAUGAUAAUCCAUGGGCUGGCAGUACAUGAAUAUUAAUCUUUAAUUAAUUUUUAUUUGACAUUAUCCAUUCACAAAAGACGCUAGUAGCAAUAUUGUAAUUCGCAUGAAUGUUGAUAACCAUAAAUUUUGUCACGUGAUUCUCAAUUGCAACCGGUAAAAUUGAGGGUCAAAGUCCUGGCAGUCAAAAUCCAACCAAGUCAUUCAAGCCGCUUCCACGUCCUCUAGGAAACCUAAUUAAGCAUAAUAUUCAAUGGAAAAUCAUGAUUAGAAUUUGAUUAAGUGAGUUGUUUUAGUACGUAUGAUAUGGUUAGCUCAACUUGGCCACCUUUCAAGAACAGAGGUAAUGGGAAUAUUAGAAAUUCGAUCAGAUUCUCAUUUAACUAGACUUUUUUCAAGAAGGACUUGAAUUAUUUUUUUGGGUUAUCAUGAUCAUUGAAAUUUUACUAGUUCCUGCAAGUGUUGCACUGAUCAUGGAAAAGAUAUUGGGAUGACAUCGAAGGGUUUCCACCCUUAGGUCUAAUCUAACGGAGUUAGGAUUUGUGAAAUUAUGCUUUCUUGACUACAAGAGAAAAGAUAGAUAGAUUCAUCCAACACACUGCAUUUCAGACAUCCAUCUAAUCUGAUGACAAAAAGAUAGAUUCUUAAUUAAAGACGUCAAUGAGAAUAACUCAUGAUUAAAAGGUCGGGUACCACUAACAUACAUAAAUAUAAUGUGGACGGGGCUGGUACCAAAAUGACCGGGGCAUCGUCCUCUUCCUACCCCAGCCACCUCCCGCCGCCAGCCGCCGCGGAUUCGCCGGAAUUUGGAGAUGAAGCGGCCGAUGUCGUCCAAACUUCAAAGCCGCCGAUCUCCCUCCUCCGGCCACCAAUUCCGUCGACCCAGGUAUGGAUUUUGAACCUCUCGAGCUGCUCUAGCUGAUGGUUGGGUAGGAUUAGAUCGAUUCUUAGCGUAGCCAACUCGAUUUUCGAAUUGAAAAUCGGCCGAAACUUCGGCCGCUGUGAUCGGCCAUUUCCGGUCAGUUUUUGGGGUAGGUCCAAGAACAAAAGUGGCUCCAAAUAGGGUGUUCUACCUAGGGUAGGAGUUUGGAGCCGUGAUUUUGAGAUUUUCUGGUGAAGCGUUAUCGCUUUGGGCACCACGCGCUGCCGACGCGUGCGGCGGCGCGUGGGCAAGGUGGAAAAAGUAGCACUGUGUUCCGAUGAGAUCCUUAGGUUGUCACGAGUGUGUAGGAUUUCGCGGAUCUCAAUUCGGACGUCGUUUGACUAUCGAACGGAUAAUCGCAUAUUGUGCGUUAUCCGGGUUCGACAGGUUGGGACCGUUGGAUGGUCCUAAAUUUAAUAUAUGUUAAUCUAGGUAAUUCUAGGAUCGUGUAGGAAUUCACGGAUUGUGAAUCGGAGCCCCGGAUGUUCCGAAUAGUAAUUUUAAAGUUUAUAUUUUAUAUUAAUUGUCAGAUCGUGCGAUCGUGAACAAUCCGACCGUCCGAUCUGAACCAAACUCGCAGGACAAGUGUCCUAUACCUGGUAGAACCCAUAGGGACUUCCGGAUCGGAAAUUGGAGGUCGUGGGUUCCGCAGGCCCGUUUGACCAGGGUUAGAGUAGUUUGACCCUUGGUUGACCGUGAGCCACCCGGAGUAAUCUCACCUCUCCAGGGGAGAUUAUUGGGUGCUAGACUAUUGUGGAGGGUUACACAAUAUUAGAAUUAAUUUAUAUAAUUAUAAACAUAUAUUGUUGCACAAGGGUACAACAGAGUCUAGAAUGUCAGUUUGGAGUGCUAUACGCACUACUUUAGGUACCUCAUCGGAUUUUGGAUUCGCUACAAACACCAUCAAGUGAAGGUUAGGUCCCGCGUGGCGUAGGUUAUCCGGCGUUGGGACAGACCCCAUACGUGGCGUUGGUUGUACCGGCGUAUGGGGAGAUUUGCAAUAUGAUGUUCAGGUCUCACGUGGCGUAGGUUAUCCGACGUUGAGACAUGCCCCGUACGUGGCGUUGGUUGUACCGGCGUACGGGGAGAUUAUGUGAUAUGAUGUUGAGGUCCCGCGUGGCGUAGGUUAUCCGGCGUUGGGACAGGCCCCAUACGUGGCGUUGGUUGUACCGGCGUAUGGGGAGUUAUGUGAUAUGAUGUGCAGGUCUCACGUGGCGUAGGUUAUCCGGCGUUGAGACAGACCCCAUACGUGGCGUUGGUUGUACCGGCGUAUGAGGAGAUAUAAUGAUAGUAUGGCAUGGUCGCACGUGGCGUAGGUUAUCCGGCGUGUUGACAGGCCCCAUACGUGGCGUUGGUUGUACCGGCGUAUGAGGAGAAUAUGUGAAAUACAGAGAAAGGAAAUAAGGUAUCACCGAUGUGUGGAAUUAGAUUUUAGGGAAGAACUACGUGUGGCUUGAUCCCUCAAGGAGGGUACGUAGGCAGCCUAAGGUUAUUAGGUGCAGCCGCAGACUAAAUGUUAGUCAUAAUUUGUAUUUGAAUGGUUUGGUAGUUGGUUAAGAAUUAUUGGAAGGCCGAAGGCCAUUUGUGUGAAUUGCAUGAAAUUAUAUUGUGCAUGCUGCCAGUUGGGAAUAUUAAAUGCGUUUUUAUGCAGGUUGGAAUUUUGAAAAAUGUCCAAUUUAUAGGGGAGACUCUGCCGAAAUUUCGGCAGGACGUCUCGGUUUUUAGUAAGUGGGCCUGGCAUCGGGGUGAUGUCAGGAAUUGCAAAGGGUUCGUCUCGGGUUUUGAGAAAAUUCGGGGCGGGUCCUUAAAGCCGGAAUUGGUUUUUGGCUCCAAAAUCGUGCGACCAGUGGACAUUUCAUCGCGUAAAAUUAGAUGUCGGCUGCAUGUUGCUCGACGGGAUGUUCAAUUUGUGCGAUGCGAUUUGGCGUUUGCGCGACGAAAACUGAUGCAACGAAAAAAUAUUCAUCGUCGCCCUAAAGUUGGAUGUCGACGUGUACUUGCGCGACGAAAAGUUAGACUUGCGCGACGAAAGUGGGAGUUUUGCGCAACAAAAUAUGUUCUUUGCGCAACGAAGUAUCUAUUCGUCGCGCAAAAGUUAGUCUUCUUCAAAUCUGAGUUACGCCAUGGUAGAGGCAGAAAGCUGAGAAUUUCUGCCUCUGCUGCUGCUGCUUAUGCUAGGAAUUCACUACAUUUAGUAGGUGAGUAUAUUUUGUCAUUAGUUUGAGUGUAUUCAUGUAAAUUCAUACUAAUGCUAUUAAUUUCGUUCUUUGUAGAGAUAUUUUGUGUGAUUAGCGGUUGGUGGCACUACUACAAAAAAGAAAAAAGACGACGGUAAAUCACCGUCGUUGUUAAAAUAUACAACGUCAUCAACAAAUACAAAACGACGUCUUUGUACUGCAAAAAGAUUUAAAAAGCCAGUCGAGGAUGAGAAUAGACGACCAACUCUCUAAAAAAACCGUCGUUAAAAAGGAAAAAUUUGACACAUAUUAACAGAACAAGGCCGCAAGAUAGACAUACAACGACGAAAAUUAAAACAAGACGCCGUUAAAUAUCAUUUUCACGACAAUAAAAAAUAUGACGUCUUUAAAUACAUUAGAAGACGACGUUAUUGAUACCUACUACGUCGCCUAUAUAAAAACAACCGUCGUAAAAUAAAUUUUUCACUUCGAUUUUUCUAUAAAAGAUGACAUGGAAAUAGUUGUCAGUGUCAUUAUUUACGACGUAUGUAUUUAUAGAGUAGACGUUGAACAACGAAACAACGUCGGUUACAAAUAUAUGAGAGUCGUAUUACAAAAUUUAUACGUCCUAUUUUCAGAAACAAACAACGACGAUAAAUAUUAGACGUUGUUAAGUAAAACAACGUCGAAAACAAAUAAAAACAGACGUGUUUAGUCUGCUAAAGUUCUAAAAAAUAGUCGAGGAUGAGAAUAGACGACCAACUCAAACAAAUCAUCGUCGUUAAAAGGGAAAAAUAUGACACAUAUUAAAAGAACAAGGCCGCAAGAUAGACAUACAACGACGACAACUAAAACACUACGCCGUUAAAUACAAUUUUUACGACAAGAAAAAAUAUGACGUCUUUAAAUACAUGAGAAGACGACGUUAUUGAAAUCUACUACGUCUCUUAUUUACAAACAACCGUCGUGAAAUAAAUUUUUCACUUCGAUUUUUCUAAAAAAGAUGACGUGGAAAUAGUUGUCAGUGUCAUUAUUUACGACGUAUGUAUUUAUAUAGUUGACGUUGAAAUUCGAAACAACGUCGGUGGUAUUUAUAUAGUCGACGUUGUAUUUAUAUGUAUUCAUUACUCACGACGCACUUAUUAAUAUAGACGACGUUGAACUUCUAAACAACGUCGGUUCCAAAUAAAUGAGAGCCGUAUUACAGAACAUAUAGACGGCAUUGAUUAUGAUGAGAGCCGUAUUACAAAUAACGUCGUUUAAUUGAUAUUAGACGGCGGUUAUAAUGAAUUACCGUCGGAAUUCAUUUCGUUCCUCUUCGUUUAUAAAAGAACUUGCGACGUGGAAAAUGUAUGAUGACGUCGUAUUUUUUAACGUUCAGAUUAUAUAUCUCGUUUUUUAGACGUCGGUAUUAUGGGAUUGGAGUCGUGUUAUUUUGAAUUACAUGGCGGUUCUUAAUCCUUCCCCGACGUGAUAUCCUGAAUAAUUGCUUCACAAUAGCGUCGUGGUUCUUCAUUGUUACGUUGCUUUAAGACGUCGGUAAAUAUGCUGAAUAACUGGUUCACAAUAACGUCGUGUUUUAUUUGAACGUAGAAAGUGAAGAAAUCACAUUACAAUAUAUUACAAAAUUAAUGUCAUACACUGCCAAUUACAUAAGCAUCAUUCAAUCCAUAUAUCUUCACACCCAUCUCGAAUAUUUUGACCACCUAACUCACCCACCAGUUUAUCAAAUGUGUCAACAUUUGGCAUCCCUCUAGUAAAUGGCUCACACUCAAUUAUCACAUCACCUAAGACUUCAUCACCAAUAACAUCAUUAUAUUCUCUAUUAGGCAUUGAUAACACUACCGACCAACCACGAUGCAUCGGGUCGUCAACAAAAAAUAUUUGUUUGACUUGAGAAGCCAAAACAAAUUGGUCAUUCCUAUGUCCAAUUUUACUCAAAUCUACAAGGGUAAAUCCAAGUUCGUCGACUACAAGACCAGAACUAUCUAUCCAAUCACACCUAAAGACUGGGAUUGUAAACUUUUGGUAGUCAAGGUCCCAAAUUUCUUAAAUGACACCAUAGAAACCCAUAUUUGAGAGAAUUGAGUUUUUAUCCUUGGCACUAGCAACUUGCAUGGUAUGUGCAAGUAAAUAAACUCCACUAUUUUGAGUUGUCCGGACAUCAUCUUGUGCCUUGAUAUUGAAUUUAAUACCUUUAAUAAGAUAGCUCCUAUAUAAUGGCACUGCCAUGUUUGGACCAGCUGCUAGCCACCUAAAUUUUCUGAUACGCCAUGAUUGUCUUCCUCAAGUUCACUUUGAACCUGCAAUUAAUCAUAUCUUAUUUCAUCUAACAUAGAAAUAGAGAAAUUAAAGAGAAAUAUGUUAUUCAACACAUUUACCUUGAAGCAUAGCCAUUGAUGAAAGUGCUAUUGUGCUUCNNNNNNNNNNNNNNNNNNNNNNNNNNNNNNNNNNNNNNNNNNNNNNNNNNNNNNNNNNNNNNNNNNNNNNNNNNNNNNNNNNNNNNNNNNNNNNNNNNNNUUUUGCAACUAGAAUUCGAUGUCCGUGCAGGAGGUAUAACAACACGUUGUGGGAGACAAUUGAAAAUGUUCGAUUUCAUUUAGUAAGAAGUGGAAUGAUUGAGACAUAUAGCACUUGAAACUAUCAUGGGGAACAAUUAGACAAAGCUUCCUCUUCAAGGGCCACAAGAGUGGACAAUGUUGAACCUAUUUUGGAUUCUAAUGAACAAGUCAUGGAUAUUAUAAAUGAUGCUUUUCCAUUUGCAUUGACCAACAUCAAUCAAGAAGAGGAAGAUGACAUGUCUACACCAAUGGACAGUGCGGAGUUCGAACAGUAUGAAAAACUGUUAAAAAAUGCAAAUCAAGAGUUAUACUCGGCGUGCGAGAGUUUUUUCGUUCUUAUGGCCAUUGUGGAGCUAAUGCAAGGAAAAAUAAAGUAUCAUAUGUCGAACCAAUGUUUCGAUUACUUUUUGGGCCUUUUCAAGAGAAUGCUUCCGACGGACAAUUGUUUGCCGAAAAACCAUAGACACCCGCAGAAGGUCUUGAAUGGCCUUGGAUUGAGUUAUGAAAAAAUGUACGCAUGCAAAAAUAAUUGCAUGUUAUUCUACAAAGAGCAUGAAACAUUGGAUAUAUGCCCUAUAUGCAAUGAGUCGAGGUUCAAAAUGACUUCUCAUAAUAGAAUGACUAAGAUCCCACAAAAAGUUAUGCGUUAUCUGUCCCUAAAACCAAGGUUGCAACGAUUGUAUAUGUCAACGCAUACUGCCACAGAUAUGAGAUGGCAUAAGGAAAAACGGGUAGACAACGAUGUGAUGCGACAUCCUGCAGAUGGGGAGGUAUGGAAAGAGUUUGAUCGAACGUUCCUCGAGUUUGCUGCUGAUUCCCGAAAUGUUAGAUUGGGACUUGCCACUGACGGAUUCAAUCUGUACGGGGUUCUAAACCAACACCACAGCACUUGACCGAUUUUCGUAUUCCCAUAUAAUUUGCUGCCUUGAAAAUAUAUUAAAAAAGAAUACAUGAUGAUGACUGUUUUGAUAACUGAGGAUCCUGGCAGGUCAAUCGAUAUGUACUUAAGGCCGUUGGUUGAUGAGCUGAAGGAUUUAUGGACAAACGGUGUGCGCACGUUCGAUAAAUCGACUGGGAAGAUGUUCACUUUAUGGGCAAUAGUUAUGUGGACUGUGAAUGAUUUUCCCGCAUAUGCAAUGGUUUCUGGAUGGAGCACAAAGGGUUAUAUGGCAUUCUCUGUAUGCAAGGAAGAUGUAUGCCCAGCUGUCCUCUCGUCCCUCCAACUCCUUCGGAUGGUGGUGCAGGUCGCUCUUCCAUUGCUUGUACCUCUCAGCAAAGGGUCUGUUGACGUACGCUAUCGACUUAUCAUCGAGGUCCUCUACAUUGUAGUUCGUCUGCAAUUUAUUAAUUACAUACAUUAAGUAAUAGAAAUAUAGAAAGUUUGAACUUACAAAACAUUUAAAAGGUAGGAUACAUACCGACAACUGUCCGAGCACCUCCGUCCGCAUCUCCUCAGACAUGAACUUCCAAGACUUCCAUUGCAUAGGGCAAUAGGUCCGAACGACGUGCCCAACGUCGUGGGCCAAAGAUCUAUGCAAUUCAGCCGUUGGUGCAACUGAUGCCGCACGUCGUAUCCGAUGCUAAUACGACUGUUGGUCACUAGGGUGACCUUCGCCGUCUUCAACUGCCGACAAGGUCCACGGGUGUUCUUCUUGGCUGUAAAGAAAUAGAAAGUAUACUGUUAAUAGUAAUCAUACAAAAAUGUUGGACAACAACAGAUGGAGUCAAGGCAAUCUUUACCUGGCUGUGAUCUGACGCACAAGUACGUCUAUCGAUGCUGUGUCACUCAUGCUGGGGGGCGGUGACGACGUUUGGCACGAAGAGGUUGCGCCACAGAUGAUGCAGAUGACGCCGAGGGAUCACGAGGCAACUGCUCCAUCUGUGAUGGAGCAGUGAUAGCAGCAGGCUGAGCCGGAGGAGGCGAACUUUGUCCAGUGGUCACCGCCUUACUGCUUCGAAUAAGGUUUGACAUCUUGGCCAAGGAAAAACAUGUAACAUUUAAUAAUGUUUUAGGCAAAGCAUGUAACGUAGUUAAUCUAAUUGGGUUAACAUGUAACGAAAUAAAAAUAAAUAUUGAAACAACUAAUAAAACAAAAACAUAUCAUAAUUAUUAACAAACAUAAUUUUUUUUUUUUCCAAUUUAACAAUCUUAACUAAUUUUAAUUAAAGCAUAUCUUGUCUGGGGGUUAGCAAUUCCGGAGUAUCCGGGAUUCCGAUCGAAAAUCAAUCGAAUCCAAUACGAUCCUAGAAAUACAUGGAACAACAUGCGUGAUUUUUAGUUUGAUCCAACGGUCCGAACACAUCAAACCCGAAAAUUGCAUAAUAGGCGAAAUCUACUCUACACUGAAACGGUAACCAAAUUGAAAUCCUAACACACCUACGCGCUCGUGACAACUAGGGGAUCGCAGUGGGACACAAUGUCCCUCUGCUACAGUACCCACGCCCCGCCACAUGCGUCGGCAACGCAUGGAGUCCAAAGCGAUAAGGAUCGCAGGAAAUUUCACAAAAUUACAGACCAAGCUUCCUACCCUAGGUUCAAAACAACAAUUGGAGCCACUCUGGUUCUUGGGCCUACCCCGAAAAAUGGCCGGAAGUGGCCGGAAAUUCAAAUAAAAAAUUGGCUGAUUUAUUUUCUACAAAUUCACAUACCAAAACCAAAAAUUCAUAAAACCCUAUCCAACCAUCAGCUAGAGCACAAAAUUUAGUCGAGAAUGCAUACCUCAAUCGUCUAGUUUCGUGGCCAGAGGAGAGAGAAAUUGCCCAACGAAAAUCUGCCCAAUUCCGACGGUGUUGCGGCGGCGGAAGCGGUGUGCUUCGAAGGGGUGGUCGGCGGAAGGGCUAUGUGUGGGUUGAGGAGGCAGGACGUGGCGGUUAUGGUGGGAGGGCUAUCGGGAGAAAGAGGGAGGCGAAGGAAGGAGAUAGACCAAACCAGGGGUCAGUCGUGUUUUUCAGAAAAUUUACAAGCCUUUGAGCGACGAAGACUUAAACCGUCGUGCAACAUAUAUUUUUCUAACCCUUACGCGACAAUAAAGCUAAAACCGUUGCGCAAAAACGUCGUGCCACUCAAAAUUUUGGACCCUUGCGUGAUGAGAAAGGUGAAACUGUCGCGCAAGGCCGUCACCCUGCCCAAAAUUUCACACCUUUGCGUGACAAAAAACACAAACCGUCGCGCAAGGACGUCUGGCCGCCCAAAAUUUCAGCCCCUUGCGCGACAAAAAAAACCCAAAUCGUCGCUCAAGGACCCAAAACCCAAAAAAUUUCAGCCCCUUGCACGACAAAAAAACCCAAACCGUCGUGCAAGGACCCUAAACCCUAAAAAUUUCAGCCCCUUGCGCGACGGUUAAGCAUGAACUGUCGCGCAAGGACGUCAUGACGUUCCAAAUUUCAGACCCUUGCGCGACGACAAUUUAUCCGUCACGCAAAACGGAAACCCUGAUCCGUGAACCCUAAACCCUAAAGCCACAGUUAUACCAGAUAGCGACGAAGCUUCCGUCGUCGCAUAAAGAUAUGCGCAACGAAUAAAUUCUUUCGUCCCGCAAAACAAAUAUGCGCGACAGUUUUCUCCAUUCCACUAACGUGUGCGCGACAAUUUGCCCCGUUCGUCACGCAAAAUUUUUUUAAAAUCAUAUUACUGAAUUCCCUUUUAAAUGGAAAAAAAGUGGAUGUUCCUUGCCAUUAUUUUGAAAAAAUGAUUAGAAUGUGGAUCAUAAGGUCUGAAUUGAAUUAGGAUUGACCAUUUUCAAUUUAACAAAGACUUAAUUACUCAUCCACAACAUAGCCGGUAUAUUAUGUAUACGUAUCAAGUUAGAGUACAUUAACUUGUACAAACUCACCACAAUGUCAAUGAGGCAUAUUGUUUAUAUAAGUAUUGCUAUAUACGUAUAUUUCCUCCAUGUACACACAUACAUUAUAUAGAUGGCAUGCACAUAUAUAUAUUUAUAUAAAAAAAACCUUCAUACUUAUAUAUACAUUAUAUAUUUAUAUUUAUAUAAUUGUAUAACAUAUAAAUUUUAUAAAAUCGUAUUAAUAAAUUCCCAUAAAUAUUUAUAUAUUCUUAUAUUUCUAUACACACGAAAUAUAUAUAUAUAUAUACACACACAUAUACAGUGUAUAUUAUAACUUAGUAUAAUGUAUUAUAUACUUUGUCUAUAUUUAUAUAUAUAUAUAUAUUUGUGCGACGACACAUGUAUUGGUCACGUUAACAUCUCUUGCGCGACGAAAUAAUCCUAUUUGUCGUGUGAAGGUUCCUUGAGCGACAAUACAAAUUUAUUAUACAUUCUCGAUGAGGGUCUUGCACAUCAUAAAACUAACCAAUAUAUUACUUAGUUGGGAUUUGAUAUUACAUAAGCAUGGAUGCGAGAGAAUUUUGAACAUGCUCAAUCACCUAUAAGAGACGGAACAACUACUUGUCCAUACAUAUUGACAUGAGCAGUAAUUUCUUACUAAUAUUGUAGUAUGAUAUACUAUAAGUAAUUGGUCAGACAAGUGCAGUGAAAUGAGUUGCCAACAACUCUUAUUUAUAGCAACUAGCCCAUACUAAACAAGUUUAUACGAAUAGUUUAUUAUGGUCGUGUGAUGGUGGUCGACUUCUUGGAGGGGAUUGUGGAUAAAUUCUUCGAUGGGGUGGUGGCAUACUUCUUGGAGGCGGACUUCUUGGAGGGGGAGGUGGGGGACUUCUUAGAGAUGAUGGUGGCGGANNNNNNNNNNNNNNNNNNNNNNNNNNNNNNNNNNNNNNNNNNNNNNNNNNNNNNNNNNNNNNNNNNNNNNNNNNNNNNNNNNNNNNNNNNNNNNNNNNNNNNNNNNNNNNNNNNNNNNNNNNNNNNNNNNNNNNNNNNNNNNNNNNNNNNNNNNNNNNNNNNNNNNNNNNNNNNNNNNNNNNNNNNNNNNNNNNNNNNNNNNNNNNNNNNNNNNNNNNNNNNNNNNNNNNNNNNNNNNNNNNNNNNNNNNNNNNNNNNNNNNNNNNNNNNNNNNNNNNNNNNNNNNNNNNNNNNNNNNNNNNNNNNNNNNNNNNNNNNNNNNNNNNNNNNNNNNNNNNNNNNNNNNNNNNNNNNNNNNNNNNNNNNNNNNNNNNNNNNNNNNNNNNNNNNNNNNNNNNNNNNNNNNNNNNNNNNNNNNNNNNNNNNNNNNNNNNNNNNNNNNNNACGAUUGUUGGGUGGUGGUGGUGGUGGUGGAUUACUUGGAGGGGGUGGAGGCGAUUUGUUGGGUGGUGGCGGAUUGUUUGGUGGUGGUGGUGGUCUUAGAAAAAUAGGGGGUAGUAUCAAUGUAAUAGCACUAUUAGGUAUAGUACUAGUAGGUGGCUUGAGUUGCUCAUGAUGUUCUUCAGCAAGACAUGAAGUGAUGAGAACCACCACUCCCAGCAAUAGCACAAGAAAUUUUAAGUAACUCAUCUUUGAGCUUAUGAAGUUACAAAGAUCAUAUGGAGCAUCCUUUUAUAGUGGUAUGGGUGAUUGGUAAUUGUAUUUAUAAUUUUGCUAAAUAGGGUGGUUGGUGAUUGUUAUAGAUUAGAGGUCCAUGCAACAUUAAUUGAGAUCAUAAGUUGGAGAAUUUGGGCAGUUGCUUGUUUGAUAUAUGCUAGAGAACGUUCAAAAUGUAAUGCAUAUUGGUUUUUUAUUUAUUUAUUUAUUUAUUUAUAGUAUAAGUGAUAUUAUAAACUACAGGAGAAUGAGAUUUCUCUUAUAUACACACAACUACGAUGUAGGAUUUAAAUAGAAAAACUCAUACUCUUAUCAUUGAGCUAUGAACUAGCAGAUAUUAAAUCUUACUCGUGUCAAAAGAGUUUAGGCUAAUUGCCCACUCUGAAAUGAAUGAGAAUGAGGGAGAUAAAAUUGUCAUAAAAGGACAGAACAAAAUAAUACAUAAGUUUUCUAAAAAUAAUAAUACAUAAUUUUUUAACAAAAAUAGCAACGGGCAUCCUUUUUUCUUCUUCUUUGGUUUGGUCCUCCCGUUCUAUUCACGGCAAUACCACUGAGGUGAUUGAGAAAUAGGCAUUGACAAUAAUACAUAAAUUUAAAGUCUAAACUCCAAGCUUAGCUUAGGGUUAAGUAUCCAAUAUUAAAGUUUAUGUCUUCCCUUGUGCUGCUGGUAGUAUUCAUCCACUCUUCAAAAUAUAGGAAGUAGAGUUGGGGGUUUGGCAUGAUGAGGUGGUGGUGGUGGUCUCACUAUAGGGGUUGUGUGGUCAUCAAAACCCUUUUAAUUUCCACCAAAACCCUGAGAUUGACUUUGUUGGAAAAUUUAAUAUUAACUAAUAUUGAUUUUCCUAUUUGAAUGGAAAUUAAUAAAAUUUAUUGGGUUAAAGACAUGACUCUUGGGUUAAAGACAUGACUCUUGGGUUAAAGACAUCUUCACAUGGGAGGUGACAACUUUUCAGACCAAGGGAUGCAUUGUUUGCCUUUUCAGAUUGAGAUACCUUUUUAGAAAGGGUAUUUCAUCAUCUAUAAAUAGAGCAAUCCUCCUGCAGUUUUAUUCAUUCAUGUUAAUUCUCUACAUACAGACUUUCACAUAUAGAAAGCAUUAGAGUUUUCAUAAAGAGAGGUUCCUGCAUAAUUUGGUUCAAAGUUCCUUGUGAAUUGCAGUGCUUCUUUCACAAGGAGGGGAGUCGUUGUAUCCUGAGAGGUGAACGCUAGUGAACCAUAAGCACCGUUGUGGGGCGUAAUUCGUCUUAAGGUCAAAGUGUCCAACACUUGCUUCGACUCAAUCAAGGUUCUUCUAAUUCAAUUCUCCUUUUGUAAAAAUCUAUUUUAUGUGCAGUAUUUAUUUUGUUUAUUUAUAGCAAUUUAGCACUCAUAUUUCCAACAGACUUGAUUGCCCUUCAAAAAGAAGAUUUCUCUGUAAUCCAUGUGAUAUUUGUGUGAUGAACUAACUCUUAGUCGAGUAGUAUUUAUUUUCCUAAUACAAAAAGAUGCGUCGAAUUGAAACCCUGUUCCUCUUAAUUUCCCCCUCAAACAGUUUGAGGGUAAAGUUAGUCUUAUGAUAUUAUGACUGUAGAGAGCUAGAACCAAGCAAAACAUUUUGUAUAUCUUUUCCUGUUUCUGGGUUUUAGGUUUAGCCCUUCCUUUUUUGGUUCGUUAGGCUCUUGGUUUCCUUUUAUUUUUUGGGCCGACGGAUUGAAUGUCAAAACCCAAAAUAUGUAAGUUCCAUAUACAUUUUCCAAACGAAUCUUAUGAUCUAAAUUGAAGAAUUUUAUGAUCUAAAAUUGUUGGUCGUAGGUAUUUUAUGGUUGGAGCCCUUCUGUUGUUCUUUGGGCUCAAGUUUAUUUACUUAUUUUGGGCUAUUUAUGACUUUUUGGGUCCCUUUCAAUUGAAGGGUCACUCUCAAAUAGAACAUAUUAUUGCUGGAAAUAGUUUUGCUCGUGAAAAAUAAAGAAAUUCGGUUUGCUGGAAAUAGCCAUUGACAAUAAUACAUUUUAAAGUCUUAAACUCUAAACUUAGCUUCGGUUAAAUAUUCCAUUAAUGGCAGAAUGUUAAGGCUAAAAGUGUAGGAAUGCCAGCCAAAGGGUAUUAUUAACUAGGGCUGGCAAUGGGUCGUGUCGUGUCGGGUUCGUGUCGUGUCGGGAUAAUAAACGUGUCAAGAAUGCUCAACCCGAACCCAACCCAUUUAAUAAACGUGUCGUGUCGGGUUCGGGUCGUCUUUUAUCGUGCGGGUUUCGAGUCGUGUAACGGGUUCAUAAAGAAUAACAUGCAUGUUACAAAACUCACAACCGAAAAAAUUUUAAUUAAAAAAAACAGAGAGAGUGGAGAAAAUAUAAGGAAAAGAAAGAAAGAAAAAAGAUAGAGAGAGGAGAGAAGAGAGAAGGAAAAGAAAGAAAAAAAAAUAGAGAGAGAGAGGGGGAGAGAGAGAGAGAGAGGAGAGAAGAGAGAAGGAAAAGAAAGAAAAAAAAAUAGAGAGAGAGAGGGGGAGAGAGAGAGAGAGAGGAGAGAAGAUUGAAGGAAAGAAAGAAAGAAAAAAGAGAGAUGAGAGAAAACUAAAGAGAAGGAAAAAAAAAGAAAAAAAAAAGGAGAGAAGAGGAAAGGAAAAGAGAAGAAAAAAAAAAGAGAGAGGAGAAGAAAGAAGGAAAAAAAAGAAAAAAAAAAUGGAGAAGAGAGACGGAAAAGAAAGGAAAACUCAAAAGAAAAAGAAACAUUAUAAAUAUCAAAAGGCAUACCAUAAAAUCACAAAGUUAGUUGUAGCAUGGUGGAUAAGUUGUUUGAGAAAAUGAGGAUGGGAGGGGUUCGAAACCCCUUGUGUGUGUGUUGAAGUCUCCAUUUGUCUUUAUUUUUUAGCGGGUUAGAGGGUUGUACACGGGUUGACACGACCCGUGACACGACCCGUUUAAUAAACGGGUUAGAUAGGUAUUAUAGCGGGUUAGCGGGUUGACUCGAAACCCACCCGUUUAUUAAACGGGUCAGAACGGGUUGACCCGAAAUUGACCUGUUUUUUUAUUGUGCGGGUUGAACCCGCUAAUUUCUCGUGCGGGUUUCGAGUCGUGUAUCGGGUCGUAUCCGAAAUUGCCACCCCUAUUAUUAACUGCGUCCAAGAAGCAUACUAAUAUCUUCUUUAUACGUCUGUGAGUCAUUAGUGAAUCUUAAUUGGUAUCAUGCUUUAUGCAUGGUUACUUACUUUGAUAUUCAAGGAGUAGAAGAAAUAAAUUUAUUGUGGUGUGGUAAUUUAAAUCAUGAAUAUAUAUAUAUAUAUAUAUGCAUGGAGCUUCCGUUAAGCGAUUCCUUAAAUAAGUUUAUUUGAGAUACACUCUUGUAGGGCCCACCAUACAUUGUAAUUCAUUAAUCCCAAUCAUCUUUGAAAAAAAUCACUUGAAUCCGAUAUCAUUUGAUCACUCAAUUAAAUUAUUGAAAUUUUAAUAAUUUCUUGACGCACCGUGUUCAUUGAUUUUGUAGGACACAAUUAGAUGUCUAAAUGGUUUCUGAUUUAUGUAAUUUUUUGCAAAGAUGAUUUAUAAAUGAAGAUUUCAAAAAUAGAUGGUUUGGAUUGUUAGAAAAAUAUUCGUAGGAUACCCUAAAGGUUCUACUUGAAAUAAAAUUAUUUGAGGGAUCUCUCAAUAGAAGGAUUGAAACACCUGAUUUGCACUAUCUCUGGAGCAAGACUAUUACAACUUGUUAAUUCAAAUUCAACAGAUUUACGCUAUAUACAUAAUUGUAAUCGUAAUCAUAUGAUUCAAACUUGAAACCCCAUUCAACUAAGUGAAUACAGCUACCCAUAAAAUCAUAAACUAGUUGAUACCAUAAUUAUUUAAUAUAAACAAAUUUUGAAUCCGUAUUUUCUGUUUAGUACCGUGCCUUUAUGCUGCUUUGUUCAUAUACUUGUAGUCUGCUAGUGAUGAAAAUGUUUGAGAUUAAAUUUAUUGAAGAUUUCCUGAUUUUGCUAGUUCUGUUUGCCAACCGAUUAUAAUUCUUUGUAUGUUCUGAAACCUUUGUUCAACAUGGUGGGUUUUAUAAUUUAGAAUAGAAGCUUAAAUUUUAUGAAUAAAACUUACUCACUUGGGAAAUAAUUGUUUUUUAAACAAAGAGAAUCUGAACAUAUGCUCCCUCGGAUACAAAGCAAAUUAGAACACCAACUUGUCCAAACAUAAUGAUGAUGACAUGAGCAUUGGUUACAAACACUAAUAAUUAGUUUAUGGUCAUUAAUUUGGAUGAAUAUGUGGUGUUGAGUUUGGGGUGUGGGGUUGUCUUGUAGUAUGGGGGCAGCUUCUAAUUAUAUAUGGAGCUGGAGUGAAUUUAAUAUAUAUCUUUCCCUGUGCUGGUAGGAUUCAGGACUCUUCAGUAUAGGAGGUAGAGUUGGGGGUUUGGCAUGAUGAGGUUGUGGUCUCACAAUGGGAGGUGAAGAACUUGGUGCUUUUUUUAAUAUAAUAUAAUUAUAAAUUAAUUUAAUUUACGGAGAAGGGAAUUUGAGCUUCAGUGCAGGAGGGGCCGGCUUACUAUCCUAGCCAAUUGGCUUACAUCUGUAAAGAACUUAUUGAUUUGACAGGUGGCUCUACUAUGAGAAAAACUUAUAUGAAACAGGGAUAUCACGGUUUUGCUAUCCCUAACCAAUUAUGCUAUGCCAAGUGGAAAAGUUAUCACGUGUGGCAUAGCAUGAUUGAUAGAGGAUAGCAAACCAGUGCUAUACCCAUUGCACAUAAGCAAGGUCUAAAAUAUCGAGAAAAUAUUGGACUCGUUCAAGGUUAAAGAAAACUUAAAAAACAUUAGCCUCUCUCUCUCUCUCUCUCUCUCUCUCUCUCUCUCUCUCUCUCUCUCUCUCCUUGCCGACAACCAACCUUUCUUAAGCUAGGGGAGGUGUCCACUGCCGCUCCUCCCCUCUGCCCAUCUUCUCCAUUCCUAUCCUCUCUCCCAUCUUUUUCCAUUCCUCUCAUCUUUUUUCUCCCUCUUUCCACUUUCCUUAGGGCUCUUGCUGGCCCUUAUCUCCCAUUCCUCUUCUCCUCUCUAGAUAUACUUAGAUCUUGGGCUUUUAGCCUUGAUUUAUUUGGAUCUAGGUAUGUUUGUGUGUUUUUUUUGUUUGGCUAUUUUUGCACUGUUCUAGGUGGCUGGUGUUGUCUUCAUCUCGGUGGCUACAUGUAACAUCCCACAUCGACUUACGAAGAGGGGAUGAUGUGACUUAUAUGUACAUGCUCACCUCCAUCUAGCACGAGGCCUUUUGGGAGCUCACUGGCUUCGGAGUCAUGAGAACUUCGAAGUUAAGCGAGUUUGGGCUAGAGUAAUCUCAGGAUGGGUGACCCAUUGGGAAGUUGCUCAUAAGUUCCCAGAAACAAAAAUCGUAAAGGCAGGGGGCCCAAAGCGGACAAUAUCGUGCUACGACCGAGCCGAUCAGGAAUGUGACACUGCAACAGUAGUGACGCUGGAUUGGGUCUCUCUCUUUAGGAGAGUUGGGAUACUUGGUGACUAAUAUUUUGUCUUUGUUUCAACGAUCGCGGCAGCAUCGACGCUGGUUGUAGUUGUUGGCAUGUGGUGGUGUGCCCUCUGAGGGGUUUCGUCUUCUGUUUUAGCAUAUGUUUUGUUGUCAUUUUCCAUUGUUUUGUUGCUCAUUUGCAGCUUGUCUCUACUCUGUGCAGCCCAAAGACCUAUGUUUGGUCAUAUGAGUUCCUUUGUCAUGUUCUAAGUUGAGUUGGAGUGCUUUUAAGAGGCCUCUCUUAUUAUUAUUUCAUGCUCUUCAACUGUGUGCUUUCUUGGGUUUCUGUCAUUUGUGUGUUUUUGUAGUUCGUAGGCAGUUAAAUGACUAUGAGUUUAUCUCAUAAAAGGCUUCUUUUGACAAUUGGGAUGCGAUGCGGUUCUCUUUAUGGGUCUAUUGUGUUAGUGUUUAAUUGAUUUUUUUUUUUCUGUUCUUGUAAUGGUCUUUUGUGGUUCAGGUCUUAGUCCUUGGCAUGUGUAGUACUCUUUCCUAUCCUAGGGUUUGUCUAAAGUGGUUUUCCUAAUAAGGUUUUAAUUAGGCUAUUGUAUUCAUACUAGUCUUUGUAUGCCGUUUUGGCUUAUUAAUGAAAUCUUCUUCUAUAAAAAAAGGUCUAAAAUAUCAAGGGUUUAGGAAAUAUCGGAGGUCCAAAAAUACGGAAAUAUUGGGAAAUUAUCGAUAUCGAGAAAAAUUGAAUAAAAACCACUGAAACUGUAAGAAAAUUUUGAUUCAAACUUUAGAGGUUGUUUAUUUUGUCAAUUAUCUAUUAUUUUGAUUUAUUUAAGUUGAUUAUAUAGCGAGCUAACAAACAAUAUGAGUGCAGAAAAUAUGUAGUAAUUAAUGAAAAAAAUUAAAUGCCCAUAAUCAUUUAUUCAUAAUGAUUUACUAUAAUAUUUUACACUUUAUAUAUUGCAUGGUAAGAUGCACAAGUGACUUAGUACCACAUAGAGUUCCUAUGAGGUUCAAAAUUUUCAUUGUCUUCAUCGUCUCUAUGUGUAGAGUACGUGUACUAUGAAGAGUAGUCAUCAAAUGGUAAAUUCCCAAAAUAGCUUUGCAUGUAAUUGUUAACAUGUCACCCAUAAAGAUCCAAGAUUGGUUGACGUUGCCCAUAAGCAAAAUCAUUUGAAGAUUGGGCAUCAGAUUCUUUUCAUGAGCCGCUUGAUUCUAUCCCAAAAGGCAUGGGAUACGAAGCAUAAGGAAAGAGUUGGUUUUGCAUAUAAUAAAGUCAUUAGCAGUGUGGAGGAUAAGGCAUUGGAGGAAGAAUUGAAGUGGCACGGGUUCGAAUCCCCAUGCUUACACGCGUACAAGCCUUUUCAAUUUUUUUUUUUCUAUUCCAUGUCCAUAUUGCAUUAUUAUCACUAUUAUCACGAUAUUUUGAGCAAAUGUUGAUGUUAAUUGAAGGAUAUUAUUAGUGUCGAAAUUUUCCCAAAAUUUUCACGAUAUUAUCUAUAUAUAUAAAGCAAAAGGCAGAGAAUGGUGAAACAUUCAAAAUACCAGAAAAUGCCCUUGGUUAAUACAAACAUUAAGAAUUGAAAUUAUUAAUUAAAUGAGGAUAAUAUGGUAAAUUCAUAAUUUUUCGUAUUAAAAAAAUUAAAAUUAAAAGAAAAUUCAGAUAAUAGGUCCUAUUUUUAUGGAACACAAAUAUCCAUUAUCUUUUUUAAUUCUAAAAUAAAUUUAAAUUUUUUUUAAAAAAAACCUCUCGCAUGCGCGGAAGCGCGUGUAGAGAGGCUAGUCUAUAUUUAUAUGAUAAGUACACAGAUCUGUUCCAAAAUAUCCCCUUGCCGAAAAACGAUAAUAUCCUCAAUAUUUCAGCGAUAUUAUCGAUAUUUCAGUCCUUGCACACAAUUAAGUUUCUCCUCUACUAUAGCACAAUCUCCAAACAAUAGCACACGCAACUUUGAGAAACUUUUGAAAGCAAUUUUCCAUCAAAAUCCUGAUAUUGAUUUGAUUGCCCUCCACAAGAAAACAUUCUAUGUAAUCAAUUUGACACGUGUGAUCAUAUUGCCCUUAAUAUAUUAGUACUUUUUUUCUUCUUCUGAAAACAAGAAGAGGUUUCAAAUUUAAAUCCCUUUUCCGUUAAUUUUUUUUUAAAAAUGAUGUUGGUGUAGUGCCUAUUAAAGAUGGCUUGGCGGUAAAGUUAGUCUAAUGAGAUUCUAAGAUAUAGAUGGAUUGUUUAGUUCAAGAUUUAGGAGCUUAGUAAUUGGUAUGAAAUUGCAUUCCCAUAUUUGGUAAAUGCAUUUUUUAGAAUGCAAUACCUAACUCAUUAGUAUGAAAUUCUCAUGUAGAGAGAAUUUCAUACCUUUAGUGCUCCUUGGGAAACUCUUCGUCUAUUGACCCUUAAAAUAGGGUCUAGUCUAGUGGAAAAGAGCAUUGACUUGCAGGUCAGUUGUCUCAUGUUUGAAUCUAGAUGGCACUUUGGAUGUGAGAAACCCUUUUGUAGGACUUAGACUAUCAAUAAUAUUAAAAUAAUACUAAUAAUAACUCAAGGGUGUUACUGAAAAACUGAAAAACUGAAAACUGAAAAACUUUUCAUUUAUAAUACUACACGAACCACACAUAGGAAUGCGAGAAAAUGGCUUUUCCUAAUUCUCACUUCCCAGCGUUCCCAAUCAUGGGAAUGAACAUCCGUCAUUCCCAUAUCGUAGGAUUAGACAUGGAAAUUUCAUUCCCAUGAAAUUUGCAAACCAAACGGGACAGAGAGUUGGAACAAUGCAAAGAUUUUGUUUAUCUUUUGGUUGGGCCAAUAAGUUUCUGGGCCUCCAUUUAUUGUAUCUGGGCCGUUAGAUUUCGGCCUCCCUGUUCUGUUUGUAACCCAGCGGAGGUUGGAGCGCUUUUCUUGUUCUUUGGGCUUAGUUAUAUUUCCUUGUUCUUUGGGCUAUUUCUAAAUUAUUUGGGUUGUGCCUUUUUCUGCGUUUGACGUCGUUUAAUGUUUAAUUUGUUUGAUUUUUGAGUUGGAGCUGGUUGGGUCCUUCUCAUUUGAAGGUAGGGUCAGUCUCAAAUGGAAAAUAUUAUUGCUUGAUGUGAAAAAUAAAGAAAUUCGGUUUUGUGGGCUUAUGGCCUAAAUUAAUUGAGGAAUAAUGCCAUUCAAAAGACUGAAUUAACAUGACCCACAUUUUUCCAUCCUGGAAAACUUGUUCCUUAAGCAGAUCAUGGCUACUGAUGAAGUAAAGAAGAAAGGGAUGCUUAAAAAGAGAUAUAUAUAUAUAUAUAUCAAAUGAGCCAAGAAUUAAUGAAAUUUUGUAAAACUGAGAUUACUGAAUUACUUGAAAAAGGAAUAAUCUGUAAGAUUAGUCACCCUGGUCUUGUCCUGCUUUCUAUGUCCAGAAAAAUGCUGAAUUAGAACGCGGAGUCCUAAGAUUAGUCAACCCAAGUGGCUGGUUUAGAUUUUCUGAGUCAAAAGAGUCUUUGAGCACAGCUUCAAGAAAGUCACUCCAGUUGAAUUAUGAGAUUCCUAAAGCCCAUGUCUGUCAAAAUAAAAUCUGUUUUAAGACUUCUUUUGUCUUAGUUAAGAACAUUACUGAUGAAGUCAUCCUAGGUUUAUCCUUUAUUGCCCUUUUAUAUCCUUUCCAGGUAGAACACGAUGGAGUCAUUUCCACCUGUUUAGGAGAAAAGGUUAAGUUUGAAUUCCUUAGUAAACCAGAGUUACAUAAUUUAAAAGAAUUACAAAAGAAUGCAGUCACUAAAACAAUCAGAGUCAUUCAAAAUAAAGAUAAGCAACUAAAAUUCCUCCAGGACGAAGUUAAAUAAAAAAGAAUUGAGCAACAGCUUAGUCAUGAGUCUUUACAGUCACAAAUUCGACAGUUUGAAGAAAAAUUAAAACAAGAAGUUUGUUCUGAGUUGCCCAACGCCUUUUGGCAUAGGAAACAGCAUGUAGUCAGCCUUCCUUAUGUCAAAUCCUUUAGUGAGAAAAAUAUCCCCACUAAAGCCAGACCAAUUCAAAUGAGCCAAAAAUUAAUGGAAUUUUGUAAAACUGAGAUUACUGAAUUACUUGAAAAAGGAAUAAUCCGUAAGAGUAAGUCACCUUGGUCUUGUCCUGCUUUCUAUGUCCAGAAAAAUGCUGAAUUAGAACACAGAGUCCCAAGAUUAGCCAUUAAUUACAAACUGCUUAAUACUGUUUUAGAAUGGAUUAGAUAUCCAAUCCCCAAUAAAAGAGAUUUAAUUAAUCGUUUAGAGAAGUCAGUCAUCUUUUCUAAAUUUGAUAUGAAGAGUGGAUUUUGGCAAAUCCAAAUUUGUGAGUCUGAUAGAUAUAAAACUGCUUUCGUUACCCCAUUUGGUUAUUAUGAGUGGAAUGUUAUGUCAUUUGGUCUUAAAAAUGCACCCAGUGAGUUUCAAAAUAGAAUGAAUGAGAUUUUUAUUCCAUUUAAUCACUUUUCCAUAGUCUAUAUUGAUGAUGUACUUAUAUUUUCUGAGUCAAUAGAACAGCACUGGAAAAAUUUGCAUAAGUUCUUACAAAUAGUCAAACAAAAUGGAUUAGUCGUAUCUGCUAAGAAAAUUAAGUUAUUCCAAACUAAUGUGAGAUUUCUUGGGUUUAAUAUCUGUCAGUCACAGAUUAGCCCCAUAGAUCGAGUUAUCCAAUUUGUUGAUAAAUUUCCUAAUCAAAUCCUAGACAAAAGUCAACUCCAGAGAUUUCUAGGAUCUCUAAAUUAUGUUUCUAAUUUCUAUAAGAAUUUGAGAAAACAAUGUAAGCCUUUAUUUGAUCAUGUAUGGAGACGUCUAAUGAUAAGAGGCAACUGGAAGAUUAGACGGAGCAAUAUCUUGGAAGGGAUCAUGACUGGAUAUUAGGGCAGACUGAAAACUGGGGCGAACCUGGCCGACUGUGGCUCCUAGGUUGGCAAAUCUGUUACUAAUUUGGAUGGGAGAAAAUCCCUGAAAGGGGAGGAUCUGAGCAGGUGACUCUUGUUUGGCUUGACUCAUUGAUGGAGGGAGGACUCGGAGUGACUGGGGUUGACUAGACUGACCAACUUGACUCUUUUGCUUGUCUUUUUCUUUUCUUCUUUAUGCCAUUGUUUUCCCUGCAGGAAUUCUCUAGUAAGAAAAUCAGGGACAAAAUAUAUAUAUGGAGUUUGAGUUGAGGGAUCUCUCAAAUAAGCUUAUUUGAGAGACAACUUGUAGGGUACACUCUUUGUUGUAUUUCACUAAUCCUAACCGUCUAUUUUUUAGAUAUUCAUUCAAAGAUCAUCUCUACAAAAAAUCACUUGAAUCCAAUAUCAUUUGACAAUUCAAUUGAAAUAUUGAAAUUUUAGUAUUUUCUUGAAGCACUGUGUUAAUUAAUUUUGUAUGACACAAUUGAAUAUUGAAAUAGUUUCCGAUUUGUCCAAUUUUUUUUCAAGGAUGAUCUAUAAUUGUAGGCUUAAGAAAUAGAUGGUUUGGAUCGUUGAGGGAUCCCUCAAAUAAUCUUAUUUAAAAGACACCUUUGUAGAGCUCACUCCACAUUGUAUUUCACUAAUCUAAACCGUUUAUUUUUUAGAUAAUCAUUCAAAGAUCACCUCUACAAAAAAUCACUUGAAUCCGAUAUCAUUUGACAAUUCAAUUGAGUUAUUGAAAUUUUAGUACUUUCUUAAACUACCGUGUUCAUUGAUUUUGAAGGACAUAAUUGGAUUUCGGUUUCUAUUUGUCAAAAUAUAUAUAUAUUGAACUACUUUUUGUUGCCAUUGUCUGCUGCUAGAUUCACACACACAUAUAUAUGCUCUUCCAUUGAUGAAGCUGGCAUUAUAUUUAUAGUGAAUUUCGUGAUGUGGAUUAUUGUGUUUGCGGACCAAUCAUUCUCUGUAUGUUGUGAAAGCUUUGUUUAUCAUGGUGGGUUUUGUCAUUUAAAAACAUAUACAAUGUCAACCAACCAAUUUUACAAUAUCAUAAAACACAAGUAAUAGUAUUACUGCAGUUGGAAAUUGAUAUUGCAUACAUAUAUAAAGCAAGAAACAACAUGCUCAAUCAGCCACAAGUGAAGAAACAACUUGCUGAUACAUAACCACAUGACAUGAAAAUUUCAUGCAAAUAACUAGUAAUUAUAAUGGAGUCACACUAGAAGCUGCUGCAAAAUGAGUUGGUGUCCAGAACUCUUAUUUCUAGCAAGCAACUGGCUCUCUCUCAUUUAUUCUAACUCACUAGUUGAGAUGGACAGGUGGAGUUCAGGGCUUCUGGGGUGGAUUGUAGUAUGGGGGAGGCUUCUUCUUAUAUGGAGUUGGAGGAGGAGGAGGUUUCUUCCCUUCUGGCUUUUGUGGGGGUAGAGGAGCCUUGAUUGGAGGAGGGUGUUUAGGGUAACUAGGUGUGAUUGGUUUCACAACAGGAGGUAGAGUUGGUGUCUUAGGAUAAGGUGGUGGAAGUGGCUUGGUCACCGGCGUAGGUGGCGGUGAAUGUACAAUAGGAGGCUGAGUGCUUGGUGGUUUGCCAUAAGGUGAGGAUGGUGGUGGCCUCACCACUCUAGGAGGCAGAGUUGGUGGUUUGGGUUUGGGCACUAUUGGUGGUGAUGGCUUGUUAUAAACUGGGGGUGAUGGCUUCUUGAUGGGAGCUGGGGGCUUGUAAAUAGGAGAAGGAGUUGGUGGUUUGGGUUUGGGCACUAUUGGUGGUGAUGGCUUCUUGAUGGGAGCUGGGGGCUUGUAAAUAGGAGAAGGAGUGGGUGGCUUGGGUUUUUCAUUGUACUCAGCUAGAGAUGAAGUGAUGAGAACCACCAGGCCAAACAAUAGCACAAGCAACUUUGAGUAACUCAUG
RNAcentral lists this long non-coding RNA (42367 nucleotides) under Prunus persica (peach). RNAcentral describes it as "long non-coding RNA (PPER_LNC000100)". The stretch from base 10254 to 10360 matches the Rfam family "MIR6274 microRNA precursor family". The record is from RNAcentral. Lineage: Eukaryota; Viridiplantae; Streptophyta; Magnoliopsida; Rosales; Rosaceae.